Molecule: small nuclear RNA, 107 nt
Organism: Echinops telfairi (small Madagascar hedgehog)
Lineage: Eukaryota; Metazoa; Chordata; Mammalia; Afrosoricida; Tenrecidae
Source: Ensembl
GUGCUCACUUCGGCAGCACAUAAACUAAAAUUGGAACGCUACGGAGAAGACUUGUCUGGUCCCUGCGCAAGGAGGACAUGCAAAUUCAUGAAGCGUUCCAUAUUUAA